AAACCUGUGACUGCCAAUUUGGAUCAUAAGGGGAAUGGAAGUUGGAACUUGACUGGAAGUAUGGAAUGGCACAUCCUAAAAAUAGAAGUGCAACAGAUGGUGCCUCCAAAUCCCUUCUGAAGGCAAUUGUGCAGACCAGCAUGUAACUCAACAAGAAAUGUUCAUGGCUCCAACCAGUAGAAAUUAAUACCAGAGACAGAAAUCCUAUCACUGAAGCCGUGGAGGAAGACACACACUCCAGAUCAAGAGUUCUGUCCUCUACAUUCCCACUAAAGCUUUUCUGCAAAGUCCUUAUAGAACCUAAUAAACCUUGUCCUGAUCACUGAACCACUGUGGUUUAAUUAUGCAAAACUGGGGUUGAAGAUUCAAGAUAUUGCUCAGAUUGUUCCACAAUAAACUCUUCUGAUUCAACAGUGUCAGCAGGAAGGAGCCCAUGGAUGCCAAACUAACCCCAUCUCUGCAGCCUGUUGUGCCAUCACAUGAAAAUAGGAUUCUUGCUUCUGGAUCACUCAGCUCUGUUGUCCAGGUCGAAGCAGGAGGUGAUGCUAUAUGGAAAGACAAGCCAAGGAGACCUUGCUCAG
This is a long non-coding RNA of Melozone crissalis (California towhee), 581 nucleotides long. RefSeq lists it as uncharacterized. Lineage: Eukaryota; Metazoa; Chordata; Aves; Passeriformes; Passerellidae. The transcript is spliced from 6 exons. The record is from RefSeq and is a predicted model, not a curated record.